GACGUAGGUGGCAAACGUUAUCCGGAAUUAUUGGGCGUAAAGGGUGCGUAGGUGGUUCAAUAAGUUACUGGUGGCAAAUCGGGGCCCAACCCCGUGGAAGUCAGUAAUACUAUUAAACUAGAGGAUCGGAGAGGUUAAUGGAAUUCUAUGUGUAGCGGUAAAAUGCUCAAAUAUAUAGAGGAACGCCAAGCGGCGAAGGCAGUUAACUAUUCGGUUCCUGACAUUGAGGCACGAAGGCGUGGGGAGCAAACAGG
Molecule: ribosomal RNA, 254 nt
Filed under: uncultured bacterium
Lineage: Bacteria
Description: partial 16S ribosomal RNA
Rfam family: Bacterial small subunit ribosomal RNA
Source: RNAcentral